RNAcentral lists this transfer RNA (73 nucleotides) under Stegodyphus mimosarum. It matches the Rfam family "tRNA". From Rfam's summary of the family: Transfer RNA (tRNA) molecules are approximately 80 nucleotides in length. Their secondary structure includes four short double-helical elements and three loops (D, anti-codon, and T loops). Further hydrogen bonds mediate the characteristic L-shaped molecular structure. tRNAs have two regions of fundamental functional importance: the anti-codon, which is responsible for specific mRNA codon recognition, and the 3' end, to which the tRNAs corresponding amino acid is attached (by aminoacyl-tRNA synthetases). tRNAs cope with the degeneracy of the genetic code in two manners: having more than one tRNA (with a specific anti-codon) for a particular amino acid; and 'wobble' base-pairing, i.e. permitting non-standard base-pairing at the 3rd anti-codon position. The record is from Rfam by way of RNAcentral. Lineage: Eukaryota; Metazoa; Arthropoda; Arachnida; Araneae; Eresidae.
GCUUUCGUGGUUCAGUGGUCAAUACGCUGGAUGCGUAACCGAGAGGUCUGUGGUUCGAUUCCCGGCGAGAGCA